UUCCCAUUUCUCAGUCGCAUGCCUCUACUUCAUCUGAAACUCUAUCCAUCUUCGCUCGCGGUCAAGGGCGUUAAGUUCGCUCUUGAUCGCUUCAUGGUUCAACUGCUCCUUAUUUUUAACAGCCAAUCUUUUAGCCUUAAGCUUCUCUAAAUGCAUAGAGCUGGUGAACCGAUGAGCUGGUGUGCCGAUGAACUACGGGAGACGAUAGGGCAUAGAGGCAAAUCGUUAAACCACUUGAGGGCUGUGCUAGAUACUUUUCUGAAAAUUUCCCUGCUAUAUCGGUUCAAUGGUUC
RNAcentral lists this long non-coding RNA (293 nucleotides) under Daucus carota (carrot). RNAcentral describes it as "long non-coding RNA (DCAR_LNC001831)". Lineage: Eukaryota; Viridiplantae; Streptophyta; Magnoliopsida; Apiales; Apiaceae. The record is from RNAcentral.